GGGGAGCCGGGAUUUAAGUCUUGGGUCUAACUUGGAGGCGCCAUAUUAUUCCAUAGGUGAUGCUAAUACCUUUGUGUUUUGCUCUUUGCUCUUUAGGAAACAUGCCCUGAACUGUCACAGAAUGAAACCCGCGCUCUUCAGCGUCCUGUGCGAGAUCAAAGAGAAAACAGGUCUCAGCAUCAGAGGAGCCCAGGAGGAGGACCCUCCCGAUCCCCAGCUAAUGAGACUGGACAAUAUGCUUUUGGCAGAAGGGGUUUCAGGUCCUGAGAAAGGUGGGGGAUCGGCGGCAGCAGCUGCAGCCGCGGCAGCCUCUGGAGGUUCUUCAGAUAACUCUAUUGAACACUCAGAUUACAGAGCCAAAUUGACCCAGAUCAGACAAAUCUAUCACACAGAACUGGAGAAAUAUGAACAGGCAUGUAAUGAAUUCACUACACAUGUGAUGAACCUUCUCCGAGAGCAGAGUAGAACACGUCCCAUUUCCCCAAAAGAGAUUGAAAGGAUGGUGGGCAUCAUCCAUCGAAAAUUUAGUUCCAUUCAGAUGCAGCUCAAACAAAGCACUUGUGAAGCAGUUAUGAUUUUAAGAUCAAGGUUCCUUGAUGCCAGACGAAAAAGGCGUAACUUCAGUAAACAAGCCACAGAAAUCUUGAAUGAAUAUUUUUACUCACACCUCAGCAACCCCUACCCCAGUGAAGAAGCCAAAGAGGAGCUGGCCAAGAAAUGCAGCAUCACAGUGUCACAGGUAUCCAACUGGUUUGGCAACAAACGAAUCAGGUACAAGAAGAAUAUUGGCAAGUUUCAGGAAGAAGCCAACCUCUACGCUGCAAAGACAGCCGUGACAGCCGCACACGCAGUGGCCGCAGCUGUGCAGAACAACCAGACCAAUUCGCCCACCACGCCAAAUUCUGGUUCUUCUGGUUCUUUUAACCUCCCAAAUUCUGGGGACAUGUUCAUGAACAUGCAGAGUCUGAAUGGGGAUUCUUACCAAGGGUCCCAAGUCGGAGCCAAUGUGCAAUCACAGGUGGAUACCCUCCGUCAUGUUAUCAAUCAGACGGGAGGCUACAGUGAUGGCCUUGGAGGAAAUUCACUGUACAGUCCACAUAAUUUAAAUAAGUCCUCACAGAUGCCCAGAGUGCAUCAUCAAUAGUGGCUAAAACACCUGUCCAUCAAGGUGCCAUCUCCUACUGCCUCUGCCGUGUGGGUCCAGGAAAAAGGUGAAGAACAGGUCAUUUAUCUGAGAAUCGAGCAGCAGGAAAAAUUCCCCCACACAGCUCAGGUGAAGGGAACAGCCUUGGAGGGCCCAAACGAUCAACAAAGGCUGCACAAAGGAUUCUGCUCUUCAGAGCAGUUUGCUGUGCUGUCAGCAUGGAAGACACACUGCCUCUCAGGCUAAUGGAGGCUGGCAGGACGCAACAACUCCAUCUUCUGUGACUUCUCCUACAGAAGGCCCAGGAAGUGUGCACUCUGAUACCUCUAACUAAUCUUUGGCAACACUUUCCCUGAGCUGACAUGCCUCGCUAGUGCGUUCAGAGCAAUAGGAGGAGAAGGAAAGCGGUUUUGUGGCCCACCAUCUACAGCUUUACUGUAAAACCUUGUCUUAUUAGAGAACUUGGUCAUCUGUUUUUUAAAGAAUCAUAAUCAUUUGUAUUUAUACUUAAAAACACACAAUGUUUAAAAAAAAAAGCACUUUAUCCAAUUAGGCCAAGAUUUAACAUUGUUGACAGUCCUGUAGCUAUUUUAUCAUAAUUUAUUAUCAAUAUUUUACAUUAAUGGUUUCACAGUUGCCAAGUACUUUGGCCUUAAGGGUAAAAAAGUACAAUGUAUGCUAAACCUCAAUGGUUAAAGCAGAUGCAAAGACUCACCUCACCUAAAUUGAACUUCUCGCGUGUUUCCAUCGCAGACUUUGCUUGUCUCUUUCAUAUUGCUAAAGGAGUUGGAAUAAAGGAGCUGUUUGGCUAUCUCUGUUAAUGAUGGUUGUGCUUAAGACUCUUCUUCAUCACAUUGUGUUGCGAUCUCUUAUGUUAUAAUUAGAUCAGAGACUGGUGGCAUCUUUUCUCUCUCUGAAAGCACCAGUGCCCAGAGUCUGCUUGGUAAUUAAAUUAUGGAUCCAGACUGUUCUGGGAGAUGAAGGUACUUGCUGCUGAUGGAGGUGAACAUGAGAUCCAUCUGGGUUUUACGAUGUGCACUGGGUGCUGCACAGACUUGUCAAGGUUUGCUACGUCCUCUGGGCAUUGACCAAGGCUCUGCUCUCUGGAGUGUUGUAUAUAGUGUAGCAAAAGAGUAUUUAUACAUCUCACCAAUCAAAACACAGCUUUAUUACCUCAUGCGAACUCAUACAAACCAAUAGAAUUUCAACAUGUUCUGUAGCUUAGAGUGCUCACUUACUACCUCUGAACAAUACUCACGCUGUAGUUUGUCUCUUUCUUAUCUUUUUGCAUCUUGUAAUUAACUCUUUGUUUCCCUUCAUAAAAUGUAAUGUACAUUGUAAUCUUUUAAAAGAAAAAUCAGGGUUGCAUUUGCAACUUUUAAAAAACCGAGGGUGGAAACACUGGGUCUUUAACACAAAAUCAGUAGAACUGUUGUAAAUACUGAGAAACAUUUUGAAUGUUCUUCAUCUUGUUACUAAUUCAUGCAAAAAAAAAAAAAGCGGCGACUAAUUGUGAUGCAUUCGGAUUUCAGUAUUCAGUACUGUAUAUUUCACCCUGUGUGAUGGGGCCCCUCUCCUUUCUCUCUUUUUGUAUUGUAUGCGAUUCUGAAACUGAUUGAGUCAUGAAAAUAAUUUGUGGCGGUGAUUCUAAUGUAUUAAAAGCGUUUCGUGUUCCUUUCUAACUGGAUUACACCCUGGAUUGAAAAAGUCUUCCUCGUGGUAGUUAUAUGUAGUUUCAAACAUGAAUAAACUUUUUGCUUUCAUGA
Molecule: RNA transcript, 2910 nt
Organism: Myotis lucifugus (little brown bat)
Lineage: Eukaryota; Metazoa; Chordata; Mammalia; Chiroptera; Vespertilionidae
Gene: PBX3
Gene name: PBX homeobox 3
Exons: 9
Source: RefSeq, a predicted model, not a curated record